This 464-nucleotide ribosomal RNA is filed under the name Lactobacillus johnsonii. RNAcentral's name for it is "bacterial SSU rRNA". It matches the Rfam family "Bacterial small subunit ribosomal RNA", at positions 38 to 469 of the family's 1533-position model. Lineage: Bacteria; Bacillati; Bacillota; Bacilli; Lactobacillales; Lactobacillaceae. The record is from RNAcentral.
GGCGGCGUGCCUAAUACAUGCAAGUCGAGCGAGCUUGCCUAGAUGAUUUUAGUGCUUGCACUAAAUGAAACUAGAUACAAGCGAGCGGCGGACGGGUGAGUAACACGUGGGUAACCUGCCCAAGAGACUGGGAUAACACCUGGAAACAGAUGCUAAUACCGGAUAACAACACUAGACGCAUGUCUAGAGUUUGAAAGAUGGUUCUGCUAUCACUCUUGGAUGGACCUGCGGUGCAUUAGCUAGUUGGUAAGGUAACGGCUUACCAAGGCAAUGAUGCAUAGCCGAGUUGAGAGACUGAUCGGCCACAUUGGGACUGAGACACGGCCCAAACUCCUACGGGAGGCAGCAGUAGGGAAUCUUCCACAAUGGACGAAAGUCUGAUGGAGCAACGCCGCGUGAGUGAAGAAGGGUUUCGGCUCGUAAAGCUCUGUUGGUAGUGAAGAAAGAUAGAGGUAGUAACUGGC